CUGCGGAAGGAUCAUUAUCAAAACAGCGGACUUCGGUCCUUGCUGCACCCUUGUCUUUUGCGUACCGUAUGUUUCCUCGGCGGGCUUGCCUGCCGGUUGGACAAUAUCAAACCUUUUUGUAGUUGCAAUCAGCGUCAGAAAACAAAUAAUAAUUACAACUUUCAACAACGGAUCUCUUGGUUCUGGCAUCGAUGAAGAACGCAGCGAAAUGCGAAAAGUAGUGUGAAUUGCAGAAUUCAGUGAAUCAUCGAAUCUUUGAACGCACAUUGCGCCCCUUGGUAUUCCAUGGGGCAUGCCUGUUCGAGCGUCAUUUUGUACCCUCAAGCACUGCUUGGUGUUGGGCGUUUGUCCUGCAAAGGACUCGCCUGAAAGCGAUUGGCGGCCAACGUACUGGUGGUAGAGCGCAGCACAAUUUGCGUCUCUCCCUUCUACGUCGGCGUCCAUGAAGCCUUAUUCAAACGUUUGACCUCGGAUCAGGUAGGGAUACCCGCUGAACUUAAGCAUAUCAAUAAGCGGAGGAAAAGAAACCAACAGGGAUUGCCCUAGUAACGGCGAGUGAAGCGGCAUCAGCUC
Molecule: ribosomal RNA, 573 nt
Filed under: fungal endophyte
Lineage: Eukaryota; Fungi
Description: eukaryotic LSU rRNA
Rfam family: 5.8S ribosomal RNA (bases 157-310)
Source: RNAcentral